UAAACAAAUAACAAAAUUGAGUUAUACUCAAACUUUUAAAAUGAGAGUUUGAUCCUGGCUCAGGAUG
This 67-nucleotide ribosomal RNA is filed under the name Weissella paramesenteroides. RNAcentral describes it as "partial 16S ribosomal RNA". Lineage: Bacteria; Bacillati; Bacillota; Bacilli; Lactobacillales; Lactobacillaceae. The record is from RNAcentral.